GUUGCUGAAGGCUUUUCUUUCUCGUUUGAUUCGUUUGCUCCGCAAUCGCAGGAAAUCAAUUAUAAAAAACCUUUGCUGUUCGGCUUCACUGGCCACGUUAAUUCGUGAAAAAUGUUUUUUCUUUAUUUUUUCUUUUUUUUUUUUGCCUUUUUCCAGGUCUCAGCUUAAUGUGUUUCUCGUUUUGUUUUCGCUGCCGCUGCAUUUGAAAGAGUUUUCAUUGUUUCUCGGAUUGGAGUUGAAAGUGUUGCUGCUGCUUGGGUCACAGUGGCUUUUUUCAGUUACUUUUUUUAGUUUUUUUUUUUUUUUUUUUGGGCCAUGACAAAGGAUUGCGCGGCAGCGGAAAAAGUGCAAUAAAUUUUACUAUGCUCGGUGCCGAAUGUCGAUUUCGUUCAAUGAUUUCUCCCCACGGCAGCGACAACUGCCGCCUGCCGCCUGUCGAUCGUCGACCUUUAUUUAUGUGCCUUUGAUAAUGCGUUUUUAAAUUCAGGAAGUCGCAGUUUAUGCUGCCUCCCCAUGAACUUCCCCCUUUUUUUUCUCGUUUUCCGCUCGAUUGCUGCAGGGGCGUAGCCCCUGAUUGGCUACCAAAAAGGGAAGGGGGGUUCCUAAGAACGAGGCCUAAGGUCCGAAUGGGUUGGAGGAUUUCCAACGAAUUUCCCGGAAGAAAAGCAAAGAUUCGACAUUGCAUAGCUACAUAACAUAGAUUAUAGAGGGUCUAAAGAAAGCGUUAACAAUUUGAUUGAUGACAACAAAUCCGACACAUAAAAAAUGGUUUUUUAUGCAAAUUAAUGUAUUAAUAGGUAUAUACUUAUGCGGAAUAUUUUUCAAUUCUGGUGGACACAUUUCUAAAUGGAAUCAAUAUAUUGCCGAGGGAUUCACACGUCGGGCACUUAUGGAUU
Molecule: long non-coding RNA, 896 nt
Organism: Drosophila simulans
Lineage: Eukaryota; Metazoa; Arthropoda; Insecta; Diptera; Drosophilidae
Exons: 3
Source: RefSeq, a predicted model, not a curated record